Molecule: ribosomal RNA, 498 nt
Filed under: uncultured bacterium
Lineage: Bacteria
Description: partial 16S ribosomal RNA
Rfam family: Bacterial small subunit ribosomal RNA
Source: RNAcentral
GAUGAACGCUGGCGGCGUGCCUAAUACAUGCCAGUCGAGCGAACAGAUGAGGAGCUUGCUCCUCUGACGUUAGCGGCGGACGGGUGAGUAACACGUGGAUAACCUACCUAUAAGACUGGGAUAACUUCGGGAAACCGGAGCUAAUACCGGAUAAUAUAUUGAACCGCAUGGUUCAAUAGUGAAAGACGGUUUUGCUGUCACUUAUAGAUGGAUCCGCGCCGCAUUAGCUAGUUGGUAAGGUAACGGCUUACCAAGGCAACGAUGCGUAGCCGACCUGAGAGGGGGGGUCGGCAACACUGGAACGGAGCCACGCCCCAGCCUCCGCCGGGGGGCACAAGAGGGGAUUCUUCCGAAAGGGCCGAAAGCGGGACGGAGCACCGCGGCGGGAGGGAUGAAGGUCUCCGGAUCGUAAAACUCUGUUAUUGGGGAAAAACAAAUGUGAAAGAAACUAUGCGCUUCUGGACGGUACCUAAUCAGAAAGCCACGGCUAACUACGUG